Molecule: long non-coding RNA, 1129 nt
Filed under: Phasianus colchicus (ring-necked pheasant)
Lineage: Eukaryota; Metazoa; Chordata; Aves; Galliformes; Phasianidae
Description: lncRNA (ENSPCLG00000014691.1)
Source: RNAcentral
CUAGAAACUCUGAAGCUCAAAGGACAAGCUGCAUAGCCCUACAGCUGUAUUUACUGCACCUGGCACCCUGCCACAGGCACAGGGAGUGUGGUGCAUUCUUCUGAGUGAUGGAGAAACGUCACCCCUGGUGAAGGCAGAAGGCAGGACUGAGCUGAUAUUUGGUAGAGGAAAGAGAGAGAGAGAGAGGUUCCACCUGGUAUUCCUGGGAAGCCAAUGAGAGCUGAGACUUCAUCUGCAUGGAAGUGAUGGUAGGGAAAGGGCCAGGAGCAGCCACUGUGUCUGGCUGUGCUCCGUUAGGGGGAGGGUGGAAAGAAGAGGAUGCUUUAGCCCUUGACUGCUGCUUAUUCCAGCACUGGGGAAGAGAAAAAAAAAAAAAGAAAAAAAAAAAAAAAAGAAGAAGAAGAAGAAAAACUCUAAUGCUGAUUAUAAAAAAAAAUACUAAACCAUGGCAGAAGGCUGCCUGGGAGGUAGGGUUUUUUGUAUUAACUCAGCAGAUUAUUUAUUUAUUUAUUUAUUUAUGCUGCAAAUGAGCUUUCUUUAAAGGUCACUUUUUUCAACAUCUGUGCUGGGAAAAUGCUUUUAAGUUUCAUCUGCUUUGUGUGUUUGUGCGUUUUCUAAGCCUUGAGUUUACUUAUUGGAAAAUGGUCUUGGAUCAUGUCGGAGUUAGCAAUUGGGUUGUCAAGUGCAUGCAAGAAAGGCACUUUAAUUCUUUAUAUGCCUAAUUUAACUUUUUCAUUGGAUUCUCAACACCAUGCCUCCAGACCUCAGCCUGCCACCCAAACCCUGCCUGCUGCACCUUUUCUUCCCAUCCUCUGCCCGCAUCUGGGACCCUGAUACUCUUUGUUUCUUCUUCUGUCUCUGCCUUGGCAUACAGAAAGCGUUACAUGGGCUCUCUCAACUUGUGCUUGAUUGCUUGAUGUGCUGCUAUGUCCGCCUCCUGCUGUUGCCUCUGCUCUGGGGGAGCCUGCAUGCUUGGAGGAGAGGUCUGCAUCCUCAUGUUGUUUUCCUGGCUGCAGUCAGUCCACAGCUUAUGGGUGUUCGUGGGCAAGGAGCUGGUGAGCAGUCUAUGAGGAUGUCACUUUAUGAAACCAACUGCUUCCCCAUCAGCACAGUUCCAUGCAAUUUGUAG